UAACCUAAAAAGUUUUUAUUUUAAGUCGCCUGACGAGUAUCGUAACUUCAUAAUACGAAUUAUUGAAACGGGAAAUAACAACGCUGAAUAUCAAAAUAAAUGUCUCAGAAGUUUAAAACUUACUAUUCUAGCAAAUAGUGGUCUCCCACCUGACGAAGAAAAUGAGAGGAGAAAAGUUUCUUUGAAAUGCAGUAUACGUGCGAUUGUCUGGAAAAUUUUUCUUUGUGUAGGCCCGCUAUCUGUGGAAAAUUAUCUUUCUCUCCUUGUAAAAUCCGAAGUAUAUGAUAAAAUAAAUUAUGACCUUCCAAGAACCGUAAAACUUUUAGAACAGAAAGAUAUUUUUUAUAAUAAACAAGAAUUUAUUGAGCUGCUCUCUAGAAUUCUUAACGCUUUCGCUAAUAACCAAACAGAUAAGGAAAACUACAGUUACGUACAAGGAAUGAACUGGCUAUGCGGAAUUUUUUGCAUUAUUAUGCCAGAGGCUUUUUUUUUAUUUUUUUAAUUAUAAGAUUUUCAUAACUUAUUUUUUAUAUUUUUUAGAAUUUAAUUUCAUU
Molecule: long non-coding RNA, 554 nt
Organism: Zophobas morio
Lineage: Eukaryota; Metazoa; Arthropoda; Insecta; Coleoptera; Tenebrionidae
Exons: 5
Source: RefSeq, a predicted model, not a curated record